UACGUAGGGUGCGAGCGUUGUCCGGAAUUAUUGGGCGUAAAGAGCUUGUAGGCGGUCUGUCGCGCCUGCUGUGAAAAUCCGGGGCUCAACCCCGGACUUGCAGUGGGUACGGGCAGACUAGAGUGUGGUAGGGGAGACUGGAAUUCCUGGUGUAGCGGUGAAAUGCGCAGAUAUCAGGAGGAACACCGAUGGCGAAGGCAGGUCUCUGGGCCACUACUGACGCUGAGAAGCGAAAGCAUGGGGAGCAAACAGG
This 253-nucleotide ribosomal RNA is filed under the name uncultured bacterium. Its description in RNAcentral is "partial 16S ribosomal RNA". It matches the Rfam family "Bacterial small subunit ribosomal RNA", at positions 524 to 776 of the family's 1533-position model. The record is from RNAcentral.